RNAcentral lists this long non-coding RNA (2935 nucleotides) under Sus scrofa (pig). RNAcentral's name for it is "lncRNA (ENSSSCG00050033343.1)". Lineage: Eukaryota; Metazoa; Chordata; Mammalia; Artiodactyla; Suidae. The record is from RNAcentral.
UCAGACACAAAGGGGACAGGACUGGGGAAUUUGAGAAAUGGGGGCGGGCAUUUGAAACAGAUGGUUAUUGGAGGCUGAUUUGAGAAGGUGGUCUGGAUCCAAGAGAAUCAACCUCCAGUCACAGAAGGUAUCUGAAAAGGUACUGAUUUAGCUUGGGAUUCUACUACCUGGGCUAUAAUCAGUAAAAGCAAAGAGGGUUCUUCCCUGUAGCACCAGAUCUAUAUGGCAGGCAAGUUAUUCUGGGUCAUUCUUAGGCAGGAUGUAACAAGGGAUGUGCAGAAUGAAUGAAAGUUGAUUCAUGAUGGAGGUACUGUCACAGGAACAAUUCCCCAGUGAUAUUCUUAUGCCCAAAUGAGAAUCUUUAUUUGAACAUGCUAUGGCUGAUGACAAUCACAUCUUUUGUUUCUAUGACAACACAGAUUUCUGUUUCUUUUCCCAUCCCUCUGCCUCUUCUCAGUCUACUUCACUCUAUCUUUAUGUGUUCCCAAGGGAUCCAUUUGUGGCCCUCUUUCCAUCACACUUGUUCCACUACUUACAUAUGUAUACCAGCAAUAAAUAAAUACCUCCCUUUCCCCCUCUUCUGAAAAUUCUACAGUUAUGUAAUCAAGUACCUGCCAGAAAUCUUCACCUGCAUUUCCUAAAGGCACUUGAAAUUAAAACCAUCAUAUCUAAAAUUAAACUCAUACUCUCCAGUCUUUUCCCAUUCCUCCUGAGCAAAUUUGCCUUUCUCCUGUAUUUCUCUUCAUAUUUUCUCACAUUACUAUCUGCUAAGGAGUGACUUGUGUCUUCCCAAAAUUCACAGGUUGAAGCUAUAGCCCCAAAGUGAUGGUAUUUGUAGGUGGAGCCUUUGGGAGAUAAUCAGGGUUAGAUGAGGUCAUGAGGGUGUGGCCCUAUUGAUGAGAUUAAUGCCUUUAAAAGAAGAGCCUCCAGGGUGCUUGCUCUCUUCCUUCCUGUACAUAAAACAAGAGGUCAUAUGAGCACAGAGCAGUCACCUACAAGAAAGGAUCCUACUCUGUCAGCACCUUGAUCUUGGACUUUGCAGCCUCCAGAACUCUGAGGAAUAAAUUUCUGGUAUGGCAGCGCAAGAAGAAUGUAACCCCACACAAGCCUUUAUGUGUCCUCCAUUUCUUGUUUUUAGGGAAUACGCUUCAGCCUCCAAGGCCUUCUAUGAGUUCCAAAGGUAAGUAGCUAGUCAGGGAAGUGAGACCAGGGAGGAGAAGUCAAGAGUGCAGCCUUGGGGCAAGGUCCUGGUUCCUCCUCAAGGAAUACUUAUAACAAUAUCUUCAAGCCUUUUCUGCAGAAUUAAAACACCCAACAAAUGGAAGAGCUACUUGAUGAAGCAUUCUUCAUUCCAGGAAGAAGGAGGACCACCAGAACCAGUCUAAGGCCACUAAACACCAGCUUUGAAAGACAAUCCAAGGUUGUCUCUACCCUGUUCCUUAUCUGCAGCCCUAUUUUCCAAUCCCCAAACCAUAACACCAUCCCCUAAUCUCUUCCAAAGGGGGCAGAGUCUUGAAGGCAUUAGCUUGACUUGGGCCCCUUUGCCUGGCAAAGCAAUAAAACUAUCUUUUUCUCCUUUAUCCAAAACUCUGUCUUUGAGUUUCUAUUCUGCACCAGUGGACAGAAGCUGAGUUUCAGCAACAAGAUUGAUAUGUUGUUUAUCCAAUCAUCCAAGACAGAGACAAAAUAUUAAUUUCAGGGCCUUUCUUUUCAACUACCUUCAAUAUUUAAUCAACUUUGACAUUCUCAUGCACCGUUUUAUCUCCCUGACUUUCAAAUAUGUCCUCCUUUCUCUGAUUCGACUGCCUCUCCUCUACUUCAAGCCAUACCGUAUCUUAUCUGGACUAUUUAAACAACCUCAUUCAUGAUGUGAGCUGGAGUUCUGCACUUGCCAUCUGCCUCUACAUGGAUUCAGCCAUGAGCCACAGCAGCUGCCAACCUGCAGCACCCCCUGAGUGGAGGUCAGGAUGGAGACCAGGAGUGAGGCAUUCUGUGCUCUGGAAAAACUGGAAGAACAGGUCUUCAGAUAAUUAGAAAUUUUUAGGAGAAGAUUUUAUGAGCCCAAUUCUUGCAUCUCCUCCUAUCUAGAAAAACACAAAUCCUUCAUGAGACCAGCAGCAAACUUCUGUAAAAUGUGUGCAUGGCUGAAAUACUGCCUCCUGGGCUAUAGAGCUAAGUGGCCAAAACAAAAGACGUCACAGUCAUCUCUGAAGGCAGUCACUCCCAAGGGUGGGCCAAUGAGCCCUGAGGGAACUCAGUAAAGCAACAAGGAAUAUUGGCCCAUAGCUUAAGUACAUAUCAAAGGAGUGAUUCCAUUAAGCCCAGACCUUUACAUCUUCCCACAGAAACUAGUUUUCUGUAAAUCUUUUGUUUCUACUACCUUCUCCUUGUUGCAAAAACACCUAUAUACUAGCUCUCCCCUUCUCAGAGCAGUUUCUCAGGGUGACCUGAGAUGGCUCUCUCCAGGGUUUAAGUUCUAAUUUUACCCCAAUUAAAACUUAAACUCUCAACUUUCAGGUUAUGCAUUUUUUUUUUUUUAAGCUGACAACUUUUAGACGGUCUACCUCUUUUUUUUUUUUUGGUCUUUUUGCCUUUUCUAGGGCUGCUUCCACAGCAUACGGAGAUUCCCAGGCUAGGGGUGUAAUCGGAGCUGUAGCCACCAGCCUACGCCAAAGACACUGCAAGGCGGGAUCCUGGCCGAGUCUGCAACCUACACCACAGCUCACAGCAACGACGGAUCCUUAACCCACUGAGCAAGGCCAGGGACCGAACCCACAACCUCAUGGUUCCUUGUCGGAUUCAUUAACCACUGCGCCACAUGGGAACUCUAGACUGUCUAUCUCUUUAACAGUCCCAUCUCCACAACUGUCACUUCUCCACAGUUAUACCCACAGUAAUACCACAUUGAUCCUUCCAAAGUGCAAAUUUGACCGUG